RNAcentral lists this transfer RNA (120 nucleotides) under Methanosarcinales archaeon. RNAcentral describes it as "tRNA-Ser". Lineage: Archaea; Methanobacteriati; Methanobacteriota; Methanomicrobia; Methanosarcinales. The record is from RNAcentral. RNAcentral also lists the same sequence under 1 other name.
GCCGGGGUGGCAGAGCGGACUAAUCCAACGGAGCCGUUAGACUCCAUGGAGUCUAUAUGCGGCAGGCUCGAGACCUGUUGUAUCGUAAGGUACACUUGGGUUCGAAUCCCAACCCCGGCG